Molecule: long non-coding RNA, 2407 nt
Filed under: Nicotiana benthamiana
Lineage: Eukaryota; Viridiplantae; Streptophyta; Magnoliopsida; Solanales; Solanaceae
Description: long non-coding RNA (NBEN_LNC005654)
Source: RNAcentral
UAGUUAUUCCUACGGCCCCAUGUUCAAGUUUAAUCUCAAUCACAUUUGAAAGAGAUUGUUUCAUUUGGGCCCAAGGAUGAGCCCAAACCCCUGAAGGUACGGUAUUGACCCGACUCGAGUUCGAGUCUCAGGUAUAUUGAGGCUUUUUGAUCCUUGGAAGCACAAAGCCCAAACGGAAAUGCAACCUUUAAUCACUGACCCCAUUAAAGAGCAAAUAAGAUAAUCAUUAAUGAUUAAACCUUUUCAAGCAUGAUUAAGGCAUUUAUCUAUUUGGAAAAAUUUCAAAUAAGCAUUGCAUAUUUACUUUACUAACAAAUUGAAGCGACCUCUUUAAAUUUAAUACACAGUAUGAAAGAUUAAGUUCAGAUCUCAAAAACAAAAGAGAAAUGGCUUUGAGCUACUCUUAGAAUGGAGUUCAACAGCCGAGUUGCAAAGUAGACCCCUGAAAUCUAUUAAAAUUACUGAUGCAGUAGAUCACUCAUGCAAAAACCAGAUAACAUGGACUCUUAAUGCAUACUUACAUACAUGGUCCACAUUACUACAAAUCUUACAAUUAGCUAAUUGUUUUGAGAAGAAAAUUAGAGCAAAACGAGAUGCUGCAGUCCAGAUCUACAAAUUAAACAACACCUAAUAAUUACACCUCCCUUACUUUAUCCAAUCUAACAAAUAACAUAUGCAACAUUAAAUGCCACUUUCUUUUACAUGUUCAAUAGUAAAAGAUUGCAAAUAAUCAAAACAAACAGAAAACAAAGCUGACUAUGAGCACAAAUACUAUCACAUUCCUUGAUGUUUAUUUCUUCAAACCAACGAGUCAUUUCUACAUGUAUAGAAUCUAUAAUGUGUACCUGGAAUUGAAGGAAAUAGUAAAUAAAAGAAAUCAGAAGUUGAGUUUCAGCAUAUGUGGAAAACAUCAACACAGCCCCAAAUCCAGCAAUGAAACCACAAAAUUGAUUCCAAUUUCAAUGGAACAGUAGAUUCACAGUUUAAAAACCCAAAGAGGUGUAAUUCAAACAGUUGAUACCAACUUCAAACAAGCAGAUAACUCGAGAAAACAUCCAAAUCCGACCUCACUAACUAACUUUCAAGCAAUUUGAGAGUUUGAACAAAGAAUAACAAACCAAAAUUGAUACAGAGAUGACAAUUUUUGAAGUCUAGAGCUCAAUUGCAAUGGAACGGUAGCUGCCUCUUUUUGUAUUUUUCCUUUAUUCCCCAAAAUGUGAGUUGAGAAUCAAGUUAAGAUGCCUUUAUAGGCAAGUAUUUAGGGCAUAUUUAGGGAUUUUAUUUUUCUCUUUUAGUCAUUUUCUAAUUUCUGUUUUUGCUACUUAGUCCUUUAUUUUUUUUCUUGUUCCCCAAGUUCUACUACCCAAAUCUUGAAAUUCAAAACCAAACCCCACCCUAGAAGUUUCUCUUUCUGUUAUACUAAGAUUCUCUAACCUGAAUUGCCCAAAUUAACCCCCAAGCCAUCUGAUUUUACUUUGGGAAACCAUACGGGUCAAGUUAACCCAAAUAGCAAUCUCAAACCUAGGUUUGCCAACACGACCUAAUUUCCCUUCUUGGGCCUCUGUUGACGGAGCCCAAAUCCUGUCUAAAACUCACAAAAUUAAUGGAUUAACCCCAAACCAGUCCACUUCGAAAUGAAACAAAAAUAGAAACGCGCUGGAACUACUUAAAAACUAAACAUAGGAAUUGUGACUAUCAUACUUUGACAUAAUCAUGCAAACAACAUAUUGAUUAAAACAAAAAAUAAUGAUGAAAAGAAAAGAUGAAGCAUGAGGAAAUAAAAGCUGGGGGGGGACACGAGAAAAAAAAAAGGAAAAACCAGAAAGGUAGUACCAACAGUAACGAAUGAACGAGGCUUAGAAGAAUUCAGAUGUUUCUGAUUUUGAGCCGAAAUAGACCUCAAUCACGUGUUCUUGUGAAGAACAAACGAGCGAGGAGAAUUUCAACUCUCAUUCGCUUGCUAAAACUACUAAAAAGAACCCCGAGUGAUUUUGUUUCCCUUCUCUGUCUUCUUAGAUCUGAAAUCGACCCCACUUGGUGAUGAUUGUAAGGAAUAUGGUGAUGGAUUACGGGUUAGAGGUGAGUGAGGGUUGUAUGGUGUAGUUUUGGUGGAUCACCGGCUGGAGAUGGAGGUUCAGGGGUUAGAGACGAGGGGAGGGUUUGUUUGGUCUAUGAAACUUUAAUACACUUUUAAGAUAAACGAAGGGAUAUUUAGGACUAUUGGAUGAAGUGAAAUAGAGGGACAAUGUUAAUUUGCUUUGAAGAAACUCAAAAUGACGUAAUAUUGGUUUUACACUACGUCGUUUGGAUAGCAUGAGAGACUAACGUAUUUACAUCGGGUUGGGGUUGAUAUAGGCCAUAUCUGAACGGAAAAAGUUGAGCUUGGGAUUAAUCACCAAAGACUAAC